AGCAGUUUGUGUUCAUUUCCAGCAACAGGAAUUGUUUUCAUUCUUUGAGAUGGGACUCAGCAGAGUUUUGAGUUACUUUACUUUAGCAAUGUUCAUUCAAUAUUGCUGCAGUCAGACACUGAUCGAGUCUGAUUCAGUGAUCAUCAAACCUGAUCAGUCUCAUAAACUGACCUGCACAGCUUCUGGAUUCACCUUUAGUAGCUACUGGAUGGCAUGGAUCAGACAGGCACCUGGAAAAGGGCUGGAAUGGGUUGCAAAUAUCCGGUAUGAUAGUGGUGAAAAGUAUUACUCCAGUGCAGUUAACGGCCGCUUCACCAUCUCCAGAGACAACAGUAUGAUGCAGGUGUAUCUGCAGAUGAACAGCGUGAGGACAGAAGACACUGCAGUGUAUUACUGCGCAAGAGACACACACAGUGAUACUUCUCCUUAAACAUCAAUACAAAAACACAUGCCUGCUCUAGUCAC
Molecule: non-coding RNA, 465 nt
Organism: Silurus meridionalis
Lineage: Eukaryota; Metazoa; Chordata; Actinopteri; Siluriformes; Siluridae
Source: the annotation of a RefSeq genome assembly